Molecule: ribosomal RNA, 375 nt
Filed under: uncultured bacterium
Lineage: Bacteria
Description: bacterial SSU rRNA
Rfam family: Bacterial small subunit ribosomal RNA
Source: RNAcentral
GACGAACGCUGGCGGCGUGCUUAACACAUGCAAGUCGAGCGGUAAGGCCCUUUCGGGGGUACGACGAGCGGCGAACGGGUGAGUAACACGUGGGUGACCUGCCCUCAGCUCUGGGAUAAGCCCGGGAAACUGGGUCUAAUACUGGAUAUGACUCCAUGACGCAUGUUGUGGGGUGGAAAGCCUUGUGCGGCUGAGGAUGGGCCCGCGGCCUAUCAGCUUGUUGGUGGGGNGAUGGCCUACCAAGGCGACGACGGUAGCCGGCCUGAGAGGGCGACCGGCCACACUGGGACUGAGACACGGCCCAGACUCCUACGGGAGGCAGCAGUGGGGAAUCUUGCGCAAUGGGCGAAAGCCUGACGCAGCGACGCCGCGUGA